RNAcentral lists this ribosomal RNA (274 nucleotides) under uncultured bacterium. RNAcentral's name for it is "partial 16S ribosomal RNA". It matches the Rfam family "Bacterial small subunit ribosomal RNA", at positions 523 to 796 of the family's 1533-position model. The record is from RNAcentral.
AUACGGAGGGGGUUAGCGUUGUUCGGAAUUACUGGGCGUAAAGCGUACGUAGGCGGAUUAGUAAGUUAGGGGUGAAAUCCCGAGGCUCAACCUCGGAACUGCCUCUAAAACUGCUAGUCUUGAGUUCGAGAGAGGUGAGUGGAAUUCCUAGUGUAGAGGUGAAAUUCGUAGAUAUUAGGAGGAACACCAGUGGCGAAGGCGGCUCACUGGCUCGAUACUGACGCUGAGGUACGAAAGUGUGGGGAGCGAACAGGAUUAGAAACCCCAGUAGUCC